UUGAUUGACGUGAGUGGCGGACGGGUGAGUAACACGUGGGUAACCUGCCCUUAAGCGGGGGAUAACAUUUGGAAACAGAUGCUAAUACCGCAUAAAAGUUGAGAUCACAUGGUCUUAAUUUGAAAGACGGCCUUUGGCUGUCACUUAAGGAUGGACCCGCGGCGUAUUAGCUAGUUGGUGAGAUAAUAGCCCACCAAGGCGAUGAUACGUAGCCGACCUGAGAGGGUAAUCGGCCACAUUGGGACUGAGACACGGCCCAAACUCCUACGGGAGGCAGCAGUAGGGAAUCUUCCACAAUGGACGAAAGUCUGAUGGAGCAACGCCGCGUGAGUGAAGAAGGUUUUCGGAUCGUAAAACUCUGUUGUUGGAGAAGAACAGGGACUAGAGUAACUGUUAGUCCUUUGACGGUAUCCAACCAGAAAGCCACGGCUAACUACGUGCCAGCAGCCGCGGUAAUACGUAGGUGGCAAGCGUUGUCCGGAUUUAUUGGGCGUAAAGCGAGCGCAGGCGGUUUCUUAAGUCUGAUGUGAAAGCCUUCGGCUUAACCGAAGAAGUGCAUCAGAUACUGGGAAACUUGAGUGCAGAAGAGGAAAGUGGAACUCCAUGUGUAGCGGUGAAAUGCGUAGAUAUAUGGAAGAACACCAGUGGCGAAGGCGGCUUUCUGGUCUGUAACUGACGCUGAGGCUCGAAAGUAUGGGGAGCGAACAGGAUUAGAUACCCUGGUAGUCCAUACCGUAAACGAUGAAUGCUAAGUGUUGGAGGGUUUCCGCCCUUCAGUGCUGCAGCUAACGCAUUAAGCAUUCCGCCUGGGGAGUACGACCGCAAGGUUGAAACUCAAAGGAAUUGACGGGGGCCCGCACAAGCGGUGGAGCAUGUGGUUUAAUUCGAAGCUACGCGAAGAACCUUACCAGGUCUUGACAUCUAGCGCCAAUCCUAGAGAUAGGACGUUCCCUUCGGGGACGCUAAGACAGGUGGUGCAUGGUUGUCGUCAGCUCGUGUCGUGAGAUGUUGGGUUAAGUCCCGCAACGAGCGCAACCCUUAUGAUUAGUUGCCAGCAUUUAGUUGGGCACUCAAAGCAGACUGCCGGUGACAAACCGGAGGAAGGU
RNAcentral lists this ribosomal RNA (1106 nucleotides) under uncultured bacterium. Its description in RNAcentral is "bacterial SSU rRNA". It matches the Rfam family "Bacterial small subunit ribosomal RNA", at positions 82 to 1174 of the family's 1533-position model. The record is from RNAcentral.